CCAAAAACGAGGAAAAGGAAAAGUACGGUUCACGAAUUUUCACAGAGAGCUUCGGUUGCUGAAAAGAAGCAAAAGGACGAACCGGAAAAAUGGCCUUGGAGUUCCGUGCUGAAAGCUUAACCGUAAGUAGGUUCCGGCGGGAAGAGCGCCCGUUAAAGCGCCGCAGUAUAAGGAGAUUGCAGGCUCCCGUACUGGCUAAGGCUGUUUAUGUGAGUAAACAGUGAACGAAGGUGGUACCGCGUGAAUUCAAACCACGCCCUUAUC
This 264-nucleotide non-coding RNA is filed under the name Heyndrickxia coagulans. Its description in RNAcentral is "Bacillus coagulans T-box sequence". It matches the Rfam family "T-box leader". Rfam says of the family: Uncharged tRNA acts as the effector for transcription antitermination of genes in the T-box leader family. T-boxes are found upstream of many aminoacyl-tRNA synthetase genes and some amino acid biosynthetic genes usually in Gram-positive bacteria. The record is from RNAcentral. Lineage: Bacteria; Bacillati; Bacillota; Bacilli; Caryophanales; Bacillaceae.